This 1224-nucleotide ribosomal RNA is filed under the name Triticum aestivum (bread wheat). RNAcentral describes it as "partial small subunit ribosomal RNA". Lineage: Eukaryota; Viridiplantae; Streptophyta; Magnoliopsida; Poales; Poaceae. The record is from RNAcentral.
AUGCCAGGGAGCGUGCCGCUGGCGCUGGGGCUGGACACGGUAGGGCUGCAGGUCCCGUGGUACUUCCGUUGCCCAAUCUCGCUGGAGCUCAUGCAGGACCCCGUCACCGUGGCGACCGGCCAGACCUACGACCGUGCCAGCAUCGAGUCGUGGGUCGCCACGGGGAACACCACCUGCCCCGUCACCCGCGCGCCGCUCGCCGACUUCACGCUCAUCCCCAACCACACCCUCCGCCGCCUCAUCCAGGAAUGGUGCGUCGCGCACCGAUCCCUCGGCGUCGAGCGCAUCCCCACGCCCAAGCAGCCGGCCGACCCGGACCUCAUCCGCUCCCUGAUCGCCCAGGGCCCUGCCCUCCCCGUCCUCAGGAAGCUCAGGGCGCUCGCCAGGGAGUCUGACAAGAACAGGCUCGUCAUGGCCACGCACGAGACCAGGGCGGCUCUGGUGGAAAUGGCGUUCGGGGGCAGCGCCGAGGAGGCUCAGGCGGAGGCCAUGGCGGUCCUUGCCCUGGUAGGGAUGGGGGAGGCGGAAGCUGUGGAUGUGGUGGGCAGGGAAGAGAGGGUCACCAGGCUUGGCAAAGUUCUUGGCAGCCAGGGGACGACCUUGGAGGCCAAGGUUAAUGCAGGUGCCGUCGUGGAGGCGGCUGCUGCGGUGUCUGGGGCGGAGGCCAGGGUGGUGCUUGGCGCAGCUGAUGGAGUCAUUGAAGGCCUGGUCGCGCUGGUGGACGAGAAGGCAAAUGCCCGUGCAGUGCGCAUUGGGAUCCGAGGCCUCUUUGCUCUCUGCCUGGCCAAGGAGAACAGACAGCGCGCCGUAUCAGCUGGUGCCGCAUCAGCUCUGGCCCGCCGAGUGGCGGAGGGCGGCUGCGUCGGCGAGCUGGAGCGUGCGCUAGCAGCGGUGGAGCGACUGUCCCGGACAGAGGGUGGCCGCGAGGCGGUUGUCUCGGGCGCUGGAGGUGGUGCCGCGGUGGUGAUCGCGCUAGUGCGCGCCAUGUCCGGGCGCGGCGCUGAGCAUGCUGCGGGCGCAUUGGUGGCCGUGGUGGGCGGGUCUGAGGGGCUGCAGCUGGAGGCCGUCCGAGCAGGUGCCAUGAGUCAGCUGCUCAUGAUGGUGCAAGGCGGCUGCUCGGAGCGUGCCAAACGCAAGGCGCAGCACCUCCUGAAGCUGCUCCGGUCUGCCUGGCCGACCACCGAUUCCAUGGCCAACUCGGCUGAUUUCCUCCAACCAUACUAA